RNAcentral lists this ribosomal RNA (340 nucleotides) under uncultured bacterium. RNAcentral's name for it is "bacterial SSU rRNA". It matches the Rfam family "Bacterial small subunit ribosomal RNA", at positions 30 to 367 of the family's 1533-position model. The record is from RNAcentral.
AUUGAACGCUGGCGGCAGGCCUAACACAUGCAAGUCGAGCGGCAGCACGGGUACUUGUACCUGGUGGCGAGCGGCGGACGGGUGAGUAAUGCCUAGGAAUCUGCCUGGUAGUGGGGGAUAACGCUCGGAAACGGACGCUAAUACCGCAUACGUCCUACGGGAGAAAGCAGGGGACCUUCGGGCCUUGCGCUAUCAGAUGAGCCUAGGUCGGAUUAGCUAGUUGGUGAGGUAAUGGCUCACCAAGGCGACGAUCCGUAACUGGUCUGAGAGGAUGAUCAGUCACACUGGAACUGAGACACGGUCCAGACUCCUACGGGAGGCAGCAGGUGGGGAAUAUUGG